RNAcentral lists this ribosomal RNA (251 nucleotides) under uncultured bacterium. RNAcentral's name for it is "partial 16S ribosomal RNA". It matches the Rfam family "Bacterial small subunit ribosomal RNA", at positions 524 to 776 of the family's 1533-position model. The record is from RNAcentral.
UACGUAGGGUGCGAGCGUUAAUCGGAAUUACUGGGCGUAAAGCGUGCGCAGGCGGUUCGUUGUGUCGGCGGUGAAAGCCCCGGGCUUAACCUGGGAAUGGCCGUUGAAACUGGCGAACUGGAGUGUGGCAGAGGGGGUGGAAUUCCGCGUGUAGCAGUGAAAUGCGUAGAGAUGCGGAGGAACACCGAUGGCGAAGGCAGCCCCUGGGCUAACACUGACGCUCAGGCACGGAAAGCGUGGGAGCAAACAGG